Molecule: ribosomal RNA, 427 nt
Filed under: uncultured bacterium
Lineage: Bacteria
Description: partial 16S ribosomal RNA
Rfam family: Bacterial small subunit ribosomal RNA
Source: RNAcentral
UCGGGAAUCUUCCGCAAUGGGCGAAAGCCUGACGGAGCAACGCCGCGUGAGUGAUGAAGGUCUUCGGAUCGUAAAACUCUGUUAUUAGGGAAGAACAAAUGUGUAAGUAACUAUGCACGUCUUGACGGUACCUAAUCAGAAAGCCACGGCUAACUACGUGCCAGCAGCCGCGGUAAUACGUAGGUGGCAAGCGUUAUCCGGAAUUAUUGGGCGUAAAGCGCGCGUAGGCGGUUUUUUAAGUCUGAUGUGAAAGCCCACGGCUCAACCGUGGAGGGUCAUUGGAAACUGGAAAACUUGAGUGCAGAAGAGGAAAGUGGAAUUCCAUGUGUAGCGGUGAAAUGCGCAGAGAUAUGGAGGAACACCAGUGGCGAAGGCGACUUUCUGGUCUGUAACUGACGCUGAUGUGCGAAAGCGUGGGGAUCAAACA